This is a transfer RNA of 87 nucleotides. It matches the Rfam family "tRNA". Rfam says of the family: Transfer RNA (tRNA) molecules are approximately 80 nucleotides in length. Their secondary structure includes four short double-helical elements and three loops (D, anti-codon, and T loops). The record is from Rfam.
GGGGGGAUGGCGCAGUGGUGAAGCGCCUGGAAAGCCUCUGCUGUCUCACGUCAGCAGAGCUCGAAGGUUCGAUUCCUUCUCUCCUCG